AAUAAGUGUAGUUUUACACUAUUCAUGUUCAAUGUUUAACCGUUCGUCUUAUUUGAAAAAAAUUUAUGAUUAGUAUUUUUAUUGCUAUUAGAUGAUAAAACAUGAAUAGUACUUUAUGUUUGACUAAAUAUUUUCAAUUUUUUGACAAAAUUUUCAAACAAGACGGACGGUCAAACGUUGGGCACGGAUAUCCACGGCUGCACUUAUU
Molecule: non-coding RNA, 208 nt
Organism: Oryza glumipatula
Lineage: Eukaryota; Viridiplantae; Streptophyta; Magnoliopsida; Poales; Poaceae
Source: Rfam